Solanum tuberosum (potato) is the source of this 156-nucleotide non-coding RNA. The record is from Rfam. Lineage: Eukaryota; Viridiplantae; Streptophyta; Magnoliopsida; Solanales; Solanaceae.
CACUCUCGGCAAUGGAUAUCUUAGCUCUCGCAUCGAUGAAAAAUAUAGCGAUAUGCGAUACUUGGUGUGAAUUGCAGAAUCCCGUGAACCAUCGAGUCUUUGAACGCAAGUUGCGCCCGAAGCCAUUAGGCUGAGGGUACGUCUGCCUGGGCGUCA